This 460-nucleotide ribosomal RNA is filed under the name uncultured bacterium. RNAcentral describes it as "partial 16S ribosomal RNA". It matches the Rfam family "Bacterial small subunit ribosomal RNA", at positions 338 to 795 of the family's 1533-position model. The record is from RNAcentral.
CCUACGGGAGGCAGCAGUGAGGAAUAUUGGUCAAUGGACGCAAGUCUGAACCAGCCAUGCCGCGUGCAGGAUGACGGCUCUAUGAGUUGUAAACUGCUUUUGUACGAGGGUAAACCCCGAUACGUGUAUCGUGUUGAAAGUAUCGUACGAAUAAGGAUCGGCUAACUCCGUGCCAGCAGCCGCGGUAAUACGGAGGAUCCGAGCGUUAUCCGGGUUUAUUGGGUUUAAAGGGUGCGUAGGCGGUUUGAUAAGUUAGGGGUGAAAUGUCGGGGCUCAACCCCGAAACUGCCUCUAAUACUGUUGGACUAGAGAGUAGUUGCGGUAGGCGGAAUGUAUGGUGUAGCGGUGAAAUGCUUAGAGAUCAUACAGAACACCGAUUGCGAAGGCAGCUUACCAAACUAUAUCUGACGUUGAGGCACGAAAGCGUGGGUAGCAAACAGGAUUAGAUACCCUUGUAGUC